RNAcentral lists this ribosomal RNA (1351 nucleotides) under marine metagenome. RNAcentral's name for it is "bacterial LSU rRNA". It matches the Rfam family "Bacterial large subunit ribosomal RNA", at positions 663 to 2115 of the family's 2925-position model. The record is from RNAcentral.
UAGGCGCAGCGAAAGCAAGUCUUAAUAGGGCGAUUAGUUUAAUGAAUUAGACCCGAAAACGAAUGAGCUUACCAUGAGCAGGUUGAAAGUAAGGUAACACUUACCGGAGGACCGAACCAGUUGACGUUGAAAAGUCUUUGGAUGACUUGUGGUAAGGGGUGAAAGGCCAACCAAAUUCGUAGAUAGCUGGUUUUCCGCGAAAACUAUUUAGGUAGUGCGUUGAAUAAAUAGAUGUUUAGAGGUAGAGCACUAAAUGGGCUAGGGGGAAGAGAUUCUUACCAAACCUAAUAAAACUCCGAAUGCUAAACAUUGUUCUUCAACAGACAGACUGUGGGUGCUAAGGUCCAUGGUCGAGAGGGAAAGAGCCCAGACCACCAGAUAAGGUCCCCAAAUUAUGAUUAAGUGUGAAAGGAUGUGGAAAUUCCUUAACAGCCGGGAGGUUGGCUUAGAAGCAGCCAUCCUUUAAAGAUAGCGUAACAGCUCACCGGUCUAAUAGAGUUUCUGCGCCGAAGAUGUAACGGGGCUAAAAUCAUAUACCGAAUCUGUGGAUUUGUAAUUUUUUCGAAAAUUACAACUGGUAGCGGAACGUUCUGUAAGUCUGUGAAGGGAUACCCGUGAGGGAUCCUGGAGAUAUCAGAAGUGCGAAUGCUGACAUAAGUAACGAUAAAAGAAGUGAAAAACUUCUUCGCCGAAAAUCCAAGGGUUUCUGCGCAAGGUUAAUCCGCGCAGAGUUAGUCGGCACCUAAGGCGAGGGCGAAAGCCGUAGUCGAUGGAAAUAAGGUUAAUAUUCCUUAACCAGAUGGUAGUGACAAAUCUUGUAAGUUGUAAAUUCUUAAUGGAUUGAAUUUGCCGCGAAAAGGUUUCAAGAAAUAGCUCCAUCAUUAGACCGUACCCUAAACCGACACAGGUGGAUUAAUAGAGUAUAUUUAGGCGCUUGAGAGAAUGAUGUUGAAGGAACUCGGCAAAAUGCUUCCGUAACUUCGGAAUAAGGAAGACCUUUUUAUAGGCAACUAUAAGAAGGUGGCACAAGUCAGGGAGAAGCGACUGUUUAUCAAAAACACAGGGCUCUGCUAACACGUAAGUGGAUGUAUAGGGUCUGACGCCUGCCCGGUGCUGGAAGGUUAAUGCGAUGGGUGCAAGCUCAUUUCUGAAGCCCCAGUAAACGGCGGCCGUAACUAUAACGGUCCUAAGGUAGCGAAAUUCCUUGUCGGGUAAGUUCCGACCUGCAUGAAUGGCGUAACGAUUUCUCCGCUGUCUCCAACAUCAACUCAGUGAAAUUGAAUUCUCCGUGAAGAUGCGGAGUUCGCGUAGUUAGACGGAAAGACCCCGUGCACCUUUACUGCAACUUUAC